GGGAUUGCCCUAGUAACGGCGAGUGAAGCGGCAAUAGCUCAAAUUUGAAAUCUGGCUCCUUUUAGGGGUCCGAGUUGUAAUUUGCAGAGGGUGCUUUGGCGUCGGUAGCGGUCUAAGUUCCUUGGAACAGGACAUCGCAGAGGGUGAGAAUCCCGUUUGUGGUCGCAUGCCUUCGCCGUGUAAAGCCCCUUCGACGAGUCGAGUUGUUUGGGAAUGCAGCUCUAAAUGGGAGGUAAAUUUCUUCUAAAGCUAAAUACUGGCCAGAGACCGAUAGCGCACAAGUAGAGUGAUCGAAAGAUGAAAAGCACUUUGGAAAGAGAGUCAAACAGCACGUGAAAUUGUUAAAAGGGAAGCGCUUGCAGCCAGACUUGCCCGUAGUUGCUCACCUAGGCUUUUGCCUGGGGCAUUCUUCUGCGGGCAGGCCAGCAUCAGUUUGGGCGGUCGGAUAAAGGUCCCUGUCAUGUAGCUUCCUUCGGGAUGAACUUAUAGGGGGGGCGAAAUGCGACCAGCCCGGACUGAGGUCCGCGCUUCGGCUAGGAUGCUGGCGUAAUGGCUGUAAGCGGCCCGUCUUGAAACACGGACCAAGGAGUCUAACAUCUAUGCGAGUGUUUGGGUGUCAAGCCCGAGCGCGUAAUGAAAGUGAACGGAGGUGGGAACCCUUUGGGUGCACCAUCGACCGAUCCUGAUGUCUUCGGAUGGAUUUGAGUAAGAGCAUAGCUGUUGGGACCCGAAAGAUGGUGAACUAUGCUUGAAUAGGGUGAAGCCAGAGGAAACUCUGGUGGAGGCUCGCAGCGGUUCUGACGUGCAAAUCGAUCGUCAAAUUUGGGCAUAGGGGCG
Molecule: ribosomal RNA, 837 nt
Filed under: Stagonospora cf. paludosa CBS 130005
Lineage: Eukaryota; Fungi; Ascomycota; Dothideomycetes; Pleosporales; Massarinaceae
Description: eukaryotic LSU rRNA
Rfam family: Eukaryotic large subunit ribosomal RNA
Source: RNAcentral